Molecule: ribosomal RNA, 475 nt
Filed under: uncultured bacterium
Lineage: Bacteria
Description: partial 16S ribosomal RNA
Rfam family: Bacterial small subunit ribosomal RNA
Source: RNAcentral
GACGAACGCUGGCGGCGUGCUUAACACAUGCAAGUCGAACGGUAAGGCCCUUCGGGGUACACGAGUGGCGAACGGGUGAGUAACACGUGGGUGAUCUGCCCUGCACUUCGGGAUAAGCCUGGGAAACUGGGUCUAAUACCGGAUAGGACCAUGCGCUUCACGGGGUGUGGUGGAAAGCUUUUGCGGUGUGGGGUGGGCCCGCGGCCUAUCAGCUUGUUGGUGGGGUAAUGGCCUACCAAGGCGACGACGGGUAGGCGGCCUGAGAGGGUGACCGGCCACACUGGGACUGAGAUACGGACCAGACUCCUACGGGAGGCAGCAGUGGGGAAUAUUGCGCAAUGGGGGAAACCCUGACGCAGCAACGCCGCGUGCAUGAUGACGGUCUUCGGAUUGUAAAGUUCUCUCAGCAGGGAUGAAUAAAUGACAGUACCUGACUAAGAAGCCCCGGCUAACUACGUGCAAGCCGCCGCCGUAA